UGUAAAAUUCAUUUAUGGAAAUGGAUCGUAAAACAAUAUAAGUCUAGAAACCACGUUAUCGCCAGACUGACUUUUAUUAAUGGUAAUUAAUCCCUAUAAAAGAAGGCACGCAACGGAAUUCGUCUUCAGUAAUCCUUAGAGUUACUAUCCUAACAGUCUGGCAACCUCAGCUGGUAAUGCAGCAUCAAUGCGGUCAAGAGGUAAAAGCAAAGACGGCAACAAAAAGACCAAAAAUCAGCGAGGGUCCAAAAGUAGAGGGAGUUACGUUUCGGCCACGACGAUGACGAUGGCGAUGGCGAUGAUCAUGGUCGUAAUGAUGCCGAGAUGCCGAAAAGGAAAAACCCGAAAAGUACCCAACAAAAGAGAGUCGGAGCCGGAGCCAUGUAAUUAAGGUGGUGCUGCACAGUGGAACUAAAUUGUGGCUGCUGCCACUGCGAAAACAUUUGGCUCAAAAUAUAUAGUAUACCCGCAUUAGAUAUCCAUGGUAAUGUGAUCUACAACAUCACCAUGAUUUCUCUGAGUGCACGUCGCUUGAAGUGGCUUCCCUGC
This is a long non-coding RNA of Drosophila teissieri, 549 nucleotides long. RefSeq lists it as uncharacterized. The transcript has 3 exons. NCBI's taxonomy places the organism in Eukaryota, Metazoa, Arthropoda, Insecta, Diptera, Drosophilidae. The record is from RefSeq and is a predicted model, not a curated record.